UGCAAGUCGAACGAUGAACCCCACUUCGGUGGGGGAUUAGUGGCGAACGGGUGAGUAACACGUGGGCAAUCUGCCCUUCACUCUGGGACAAGCCCUGGAAACGGGGUCUAAUACCGGAUAAUACUCCUGCAGGCAUCUGUGGGGGUUAAAAGCUCCGGCGGUGAAGGAUGAGCCCGCGGCCUAUCAGCUUGUUGGUGAGGUAGUGGCUCACCAAGGCGACGACGGGUAGCCGGCCUGAGAGGGCGACCGGCCACACUGGGACUGAGACACGGCCCAGACUCCUACGGGAGGCAGCAGUGGGGAAUAUUGCACAAUGGGCGAAAGCCUGAUGCAGCGACGCCGCGUGAGGGAUGACGGCCUUCGGGUUGUAAACCUCUUUCAGCAGGGAAGAAGCGAAAGUGACGGUACCUGCAGAAGAAGCGCCGGCUAACUACGUGCCAGCAGCCGCGGUAAUACGUAGGGCGCAAGCGUUGUCCGGAAUUAUUGGGCGUAAAGAGCUCGUAGGCGGUCUGUCGCGUCGGAUGUGAAAGCCCGGGGCUUAACCCCGGGUCUGCAUUCGAUACGGGCAGACUAGAGUGUGGUAGGGGAGAUCGGAAUUCCUGGUGUAGCGGUGAAAUGCGCAGAUAUCAGGAGGAACACCGGUGGCGAAGGCGGAUCUCUGGGCCAUUACUGACGCUGAGGAGCGAAAGCGUGGGGAGCGAACAGGAUUAGAUACCCUGGUAGUCCACGCCGUAAACGGUGGGAACUAGGUGUUGGCGACAUUCCACGUCGUCGGUGCCGCAGCUAACGCAUUAAGUUCCCCGCCUGGGGAGUACGGCCGCAAGGCUAAAACUCAAAGGAAUUGA
RNAcentral lists this ribosomal RNA (845 nucleotides) under Streptomyces sp. Its description in RNAcentral is "bacterial SSU rRNA". It matches the Rfam family "Bacterial small subunit ribosomal RNA", at positions 56 to 913 of the family's 1533-position model. Lineage: Bacteria; Bacillati; Actinomycetota; Actinomycetes; Kitasatosporales; Streptomycetaceae. The record is from RNAcentral.